This is a long non-coding RNA of Engraulis encrasicolus (European anchovy), 3299 nucleotides long. RefSeq lists it as uncharacterized. NCBI's taxonomy places the organism in Eukaryota, Metazoa, Chordata, Actinopteri, Clupeiformes, Engraulidae. The transcript has 5 exons. The record is from RefSeq and is a predicted model, not a curated record.
UGUCCAACGAAGACGUGUGUGUUUGUGCAGUCAUGAUAAUAGUGGUAGAACUACCGUCGCGCCAAUCUUCCUCUGAUGCUGUCGUUUUAAACCUCCUUGAGUGUGCACUCUCCUCUCCACUUGCGCACGGCUACUGUAGUUUUGAUAAGAAUCAAUGUGUGGGCGAUCGCUAAGGGGUUUAAUAAAGUGCGGAGAUUUGAAACUUGUUCCCGCGGAGGGCAACGCUAAAAGACCCACUCGACAUCCCUUCCAUGUGAUGCGUUAAGACAGCGUUAAGAUAGCGUCUCCCAGACAUCCCAAGUUCCAAAAACUUAUUACAGGGAGCUGCCAGAAAUAUUCUAGUAAGGGGAGAUAGGACAGGUACAUUGAAAUUAACGGUGAAGAUUCGUAACGCAAAUAUGGCGUCUACCCGCACAUCUCCCGCCUUUCUGGUAACAAGAGCCAAUGUGCCUGCUGAGCUGCGUUGCCAGUGAUCCAAUCAUUUGGCUGCAUCGGCGCACGCGAAAUUAUGCACAUGCUCAGUUGUGAAAAGCCGUUGCUCUCGUGCCGUUAUGGAACUACUGCGCCUGCGCUCUGUCAAAAAAGCCGUGAGAAAAGUGGCUCAAAAAGCUUUAUUUUGACUCAUAUGACACAACCAAGUAGUCUAGAUCGAUCAGUUUUUCACGGUCGUUUCAACCAUAUGGUUUUCACAACCCCUGGGUUCCCCUCCGUCCUAUACUCAGUUUCCCCAUUCAUUUUUCCCAUUGACUCUCAGAUCUGGUCUACUUAAUCGCGAAAUAGCACCCCGGAGGCGUCACCAAGAUGGCCGCCAUAUGUCCCCUCUCAUUCUAAAAUCUCUCUGGAGCUGCCUAUCACAAUAUGGUCCAGCUGCGUCCUGUCCAGCUAAUACCGCUACGCCCAUUCCUCCUUACUAGACCGCCCUCACAGUAACGCCCCUUUGGCUGUUCACGUUUCUCAAGUCAGUGACAUGCUGCCGAAUGACAACACAAGCGCCGCACAGGACUUUUUAAAACGACUGAAUGGAUUUCGCUGCAGCGAUCACUCAACUGUCGGUAAGAUUUCAAUAUAAAUGCAUGAAUAUACAUAACGGUUACUUUACGAGUUGACUUUCAGUCGGAGGGCGAACAUUUACCUCGGCCCACCAACUAGCGGUUUUGGCUAAUGUUAUUUAGCUUCAAGGCAAGCUAACAGGCCGCCCUUCCUAAGUUUCAGAUGUUGUGUGUAUAUUUGUCAUAAUGACUUGAUGUAGUAGUGCUAAAAAUAAACCUUUAUAUGUUCUCUUAGUGAACUUCUCAAAAUAUAUGGGCUAUAAUGUAUAAUGUACUUGGGAUGGGUUUAUCGUUACCCAUUGUUUCUGAUGGGGCGUUAAUUGGUGUGGCACCCCGGAAAUCUUCCUCACUUCUGGCAAGGGAUUGGGAAGUAAAUAAAUGCUACUGGAUCGAGACCCCUCAUCUCUCCUGCCUCUUCAAUCAUCCAAAGACUGUUAAAUUUGUUAUUUAAAUGUAAUGGUCGGUUCAUGUCCGUUACAUUGACUUGACUUGUCAUUGGGUCUGAUUUUAAAUGUGCCAUAUAGUUCAAUGUGGGAGCAGGUUCACACACUAAAUAAGACACUAAGGUCAAGCACAAUCAGAUUUUUUUUUUUAAACAAUUCUCAGAGCAGAGUAGAGCAGACGUUUCAGGUUACUGCCAUCAGAGAGUAGUGACUUGACCUUAGUGUCUUAAGUGUGCUCCCACAUUGAACUCUACUUUUUGGGUCCAUGCACCUACUUAUUUCUAAACAUCUAAGCGCAAUUAUACCCCUGCCUCCUGAUGUGCCAUAUAACCUGUAUCUCUCCAAUUGUGUGUGUGUGUGUGUGUGUGUGUGUGUGUGUGUGUGUGUGUGUGUGUGUGUGUGUGUGUGUGUGUGAGAGAGAGAAUGUGUGCACGCAGAUAUAAGAAGUUGGGGUUGAUGAUCCACAUGAUGGUGAUGGACCAGGACAGCUCUGGACCUCCUGACUGGCAGCUCCAUCCUCAACCUCUUCCUGCCCUUCACACAUGUGCAGGCAGAGAGGCAGUUUUCUGAAGGAUGGUUGAUGUCAGUACUAACAUGUUGUGAUGGAGGCUUCCACCUGAGCUGAACACAGAAACUUGCACACAGUGAUGGAAGCAGUCGUUCCUGUUCAGCAUUGAUAUGCCGGUAAUGGGUUUGAUGAGCCACAGCAUGGUGAUGGGCAAUCAGCAUCAGGACCAGGGCCGCUCACAAGGAGAACCUCCUGCCCUGCCUCUUCAUCCUCAACCUCCAAUCUUCCUGCUCUUCACACAUGUGCAGGCACGGAGCCAGCUUUCAGAGGGAGGGCUGAUGACACCAGCAACUUCGGAUCUGAACCUGAUCAACCCAGCACCAACCACUAUGCCGCUCCUCCUCUGCCAACUGCACCACAUGGCUCCACCAUCUCAAAAAGGCACAGACACUACUCCACUUCCUGCGAAGGAUGAGAGAAGAGCCGACCUCCCCACAUCGGCACUCACCACCUUCUACAGGGGUGUCAUUGAGAGCACCCUGGCCAGCAGCCUCUCUGUCUGGCAUGGCAGCCGUCAAGAGUGGUGAGGACAGCAGAAAAGCUCAUAAGAUCACCCCUACCAGCCAUUCCGGAUCUGUACACUUCACACUGUUCCAAGAGGGCAAUGAACAUCAUAAAGACACAACUCAUCCAGCACACAGACCGCCCUCCCUACUACCAUCAGGGAAGCGCUAGCCCACCAUGCGGUGCUGCAAAAGCACACUGGGAAACGGCUUCUUUCCACAAGCCAUCAGACUCCUCAACGCACUGAAGAAAACCACAUGAAUAACCAAGGACACGAGAGAAUAUUCCAUGAACACUUCUUUCACCAUGCCACUUACAUUUUACUCAUUGCACCUUGUAUACAGCAUCUUCACAUCACCUGUAUGAACUCCUCCUGCCAUGUGUGUGUGUGUGUCCACUGUGUUUGUGUGUAUUUAUUGUCCAUCAGUAUGUUAAUUGCACACUGUUUGGGUGUGAGUGUAUUUAUAGUAUGUAUCAGUCUGUAUUUAAUGUCAAUGCCUUAUUUUUAGUUAUUAGUUAAAUGCACAUUGGAGACUGGUCAAACACAAUUUCAAACUUUGUGUUAACCCUCCAUAGAUUUUUUUGUCAAAAAAUGGAGUCUAAUCUACUGUACUAGGCUAUCAACAGACCACACAGUUGAGUGCUGUUUUAUGCACUCUGAAUAUGAGGAGAGGAAGAGGUGACCGUUCACACUUCAUAGUGUACAAGUAAACGGAAAUAAAUUUUCACAUUUCA